Molecule: transfer RNA, 70 nt
Filed under: Curculionoidea sp. 31 KM-2017
Lineage: Eukaryota; Metazoa; Arthropoda; Insecta; Coleoptera
Description: tRNA-Lys
Source: RNAcentral
CAUUAGAUGACUGAAAGCAAGUAAUGGUCUCUUAAACCACCUUAUAGUAGUAUAGCUCCUACUUCUAAUG